CCAUACAGAAAGAUGGCUUCACUUUCCAUGCCUUGCAGCUCCCUCAGCUGUCACCAUUGCUGAAAAGCUAUGCCAAUGUUUACUCUAGUUUGUUUUGUCUCUUUAACUCCUUUUUCAGAGACUAUAAGUAAUUUAUAGCUGUUGGGGUGUUAAGACCAUUUCAAAAAAUAUAUUAAAAAGUGUAUAUUGGAAAAUGUUACCAACCCUUCUGUUAACUGUUCGAGUUCAUUGCCAAACC
Molecule: long non-coding RNA, 238 nt
Organism: Sander lucioperca (pikeperch)
Lineage: Eukaryota; Metazoa; Chordata; Actinopteri; Perciformes; Percidae
Exons: 3
Source: RefSeq, a predicted model, not a curated record